UUCUAAAACACUUGCCAUAUUGCACACUUUUGUCACUCGAAUUACAUAACCUCACUAAAUUAGUAUUAUAAUAAAAAAUAUCGAUAUAACUAAAUACAGUAUCAUAUAGUAUCGAUCUAUUCAAUCGAUUACUCGCAAAUAAAGCACAAGUAUUGACUUGUUCUCGAUUGAUCUCGAGAAAAAUAAGUAACGAAACGAUUUUUAGUGACUUCAUUAAAUUAACAUUAUAACAGAAAAUAUCAUCGAUAUAACUAAAUAUGAAUUUUUCGCGAGAAUGCUGUUGGUGUUAUUUGUCAAGCGUGACCGAAGGAAAGAGCAGCGGUUUCGAAUGAGAAAAUUUAUGGGUCGCAAUGUGUCGACGGAAACCUUAAAUUUUAACGUCCCUGUCGCGUACUCGGUUGCGUCCUGCCUUGCCUGUUAAGAACCUUGCGAAGGGGGAUUACGAGUUGACUGCCACGAACAUGGAACAUCAAGGGGUGGUUCCACUCUCUCCACGGUGGGGGAGAAUCAGAAGUAUGGUGGUGGCUCUAUGGUAGGGAGAUGUGUAGACAGUGCCACAGGAAAAGGUGUAGGGAAGAGGCGCACGUUGCUCCUUCUUCCUUCCUGAUGCUUUGCUUGUGUCUCUUUCUACACUGAAUAUUUUUCUUUUUGUGUUGCUCGAAAUAAAUAAAUCGGAUUCGAGUCAAACGAGCAUAAUAAAUAAAGAGACAAAUCAAUGGGGCUGUCGAGUCGGCGGUCGCUGUUUGAUGUCAAGAAAGAGCUCGACCCGCUCAGAUUCAGCUAUCUCGAUGUCGUCGCCGACAGCGGCAUCCUACUGCGAUAACGCCAUUAUGCGAAUUCGAGAUUUGCAUAUUUCAGAAAGUGCUGCACAGGAAAGCAUAAACAACUCUGGUCGCUCUGCGCAACGAGAGCGUUGUGGCUUCCUCGUCAGAAGAGUUACACGCAUGGAAGAUUUACGGAGAAUCCAACGGUUUUCCUUUUCCCUUCCUCCACCUUUUUUCCACUUUUUUCUCCCGUCCUUUUUUGCUAUCUUUGUUAUUCUUUUUUUCUCUUUGUUCUUCUUUUUUUUUUUUUCAGAAAACCUCUUCUUACUCUACUUUGUAUUCAGACAUAAAUGCAUGAAAUGGAAAUUGGUUGAAUACCUCCGGAUGAUCAUUUCGGAAUGGAGGACGAAAGAACCGGUCCAACAAUUUUACUAAACUGAAACUUGCGGUUUUCGGAUUGAAUCUUAACUAAUCUUUGGACAAUCAUAUUUCGACAUGUUAAUUCGGAUGCAUCUUGAAAUAAGUAGAAGAUUGUUCGUACAUAUGAUUUU
Apis florea (little honeybee) is the source of this 1315-nucleotide long non-coding RNA. RefSeq lists it as uncharacterized. The record is from RefSeq and is a predicted model, not a curated record. NCBI's taxonomy places the organism in Eukaryota, Metazoa, Arthropoda, Insecta, Hymenoptera, Apidae.